This is a long non-coding RNA of Cajanus cajan (pigeon pea), 487 nucleotides long. RefSeq lists it as uncharacterized. Lineage: Eukaryota; Viridiplantae; Streptophyta; Magnoliopsida; Fabales; Fabaceae. The record is from RefSeq and is a predicted model, not a curated record.
GUUAGAUUAACUUUAAUUAGAAUACCAUUUCCGUGCACAUGAAACUGUUACUCUGUUAGUAUAAGUAUUAUCGAUCUAUAUUAUCCUCAUGAUGCAUCAUAUUAAAAUUUAUUUUCUAAAGUUUCUUUAUGAUUGCAAUGUUGGUUUCAUCGCAAUAAUCUUGGUGUGAUUAACUCUUAAAAAAAUAUAUAUUUGAAUAAAUGUGGUUAAUGCAGCUGCAAUUGUGAAACACCCAAAAAAAAACUUCAUGUUAUGGUUGAAAUUAAUCGUGACCUGGAACCAUUUUUUAAAACUUUGAUAUUUUCAUUCGGUAUAAAUUAUUGACAUACUGUCAAUACACAUGCUCAUCGUAGUGUUAUUAUACACUUGCCAUAUCUAUCUUAACAAUUUAAUUUAUAUCAUACAAGGGUAAGUUAUAUCAAUGCUAAUAAUUUUAAAGUUUAUCAUUUUUCUUAUUUAAGAAUGGCAAUUUAAAAAAAAAAAAAAA